RNAcentral lists this ribosomal RNA (253 nucleotides) under uncultured bacterium. RNAcentral's name for it is "partial 16S ribosomal RNA". It matches the Rfam family "Bacterial small subunit ribosomal RNA", at positions 524 to 776 of the family's 1533-position model. The record is from RNAcentral.
UACGGAGGGCGCAAGCGUUAUCCGGAUUCACUGGGUUUGAAGGGCGCGUAGGCGGGCUGCCAAGUUCGGGGUGAAAUCCUCCCGCUCAACGGGAGAACGGCCCCGAAUACUGGCGGUCUCGAGGGAGGUAGGGGCGUGCGGAACUAUGGGUGGAGCGGUGAAAUGCGUUGAUAUCCAUAGGAACUCCGGUGGCGAAGGCGGCACGCUGGACCUCUUCUGACGCUGAGGCGCGAAAGCCAGGGGAGCAAACGGG